CCUGGCUUAGGAGUGAACGCUAGCGGCAGGCUUAACACAUGCAAGUCGAGGGGCAUCGGGAGUAGCAAUACGUUGCCGGCGACCGGCGCAAGGGUGCGUAACGCGUGAGCAACAUGCCCGUAUCAGGGGGAUAAUCCAUGGAAACGUGGUCUAAUACCCCAUAGUAAUUAUGUAAGGCAUUCUUAUAUAAUUUAAAGCUUUGGUGGAUACGGAUUGGCUCGCGUGACAUUAGCUAGAUGGUAAGGUAACGGCUUACCAUGGCUACGAUGUCUAGGGGUUCUGAGAGGAAGGUCCCCCCACACUCGGAACUGAGACACGGUCCAGACUCCUACGGGAGGCAGCAGUGAGGAAUAUUGGACAAUGGAUGGAAAUCUGAUCCAGCCAUGCCGCGUGCAGGAAAGACGGCCCUAUGGGUUGUAAACUGCUUUUUGUAUGGGAGCAAUAAGGGCUACGCGUAGUCCGUAUGAGAGUACCAUACGAAUAAGCACCGGCUAACUCCGUGCCAGCAGCAGC
This 513-nucleotide ribosomal RNA is filed under the name uncultured bacterium. RNAcentral describes it as "bacterial SSU rRNA". It matches the Rfam family "Bacterial small subunit ribosomal RNA", at positions 18 to 518 of the family's 1533-position model. The record is from RNAcentral.